This 549-nucleotide ribosomal RNA is filed under the name uncultured Glomeromycotina. RNAcentral describes it as "SSU rRNA". It matches the Rfam family "Eukaryotic small subunit ribosomal RNA", at positions 548 to 1098 of the family's 1831-position model. Lineage: Eukaryota; Fungi; Glomeromycota. The record is from RNAcentral.
UUGGAGGGCAAGUCUGGUGCCAGCAGCCGCGGUAAUUCCAGCUCCAAUAGCGUAUAUUAAAGUUGUUGCAGUUAAAAAGCUCGUAGUUGAAUUUCGGGAUCAAUUUAUCGGUCGUGCCAAUGGUAUGAACUGGUACAAUUGGUUUCUCCCUUCUGACGAAGCAUGAUGUCAUUAAUUUGGUGUCGUGGGGAAUCAGGACUGUUACUUUGAAAAAAUUAGAGUGUUUAAAGCAAGCAUUAGCUUGAAUACAUUAGCAUGGAAUAAUGAAAUAGGACGUUUGAUCCUAUUUCGUUGGUUUCUAGGAUCGACGUAAUGAUUAAUAGGGAUAGUUGGGGGCAUUAGUAUUCAAUUGUCAGAGGUGAAAUUCUUGGAUUUAUUGAAGACUAACUACUGCGAAAGCAUUUGCCAAGGAUGUUUUCAUUAAUCAAGAACGAAAGUUAGGGGAUCGAAGACGAUCAGAUACCGUCGGAGUCUUAACCAUAAACUAUGCCGACUAGGGAUCGGAUGAUGUUAAUUUUUUAAUGACUCAUUCGGCGCCUUACGGGAAAC